GGAGAGGUAGCCAAGUGGACGAAGGCGCUCGCCUGGAGAGCGAGUAGGCGCCACAAGCGCCUCGUGGGUUCGAAUCCCACCCUCUCCGCCA
RNAcentral lists this transfer RNA (91 nucleotides) under Chloroflexota bacterium. RNAcentral's name for it is "tRNA-Ser". It matches the Rfam family "tRNA". Rfam says of the family: Transfer RNA (tRNA) molecules are approximately 80 nucleotides in length. The record is from RNAcentral. Lineage: Bacteria; Bacillati; Chloroflexota.